This 47-nucleotide transfer RNA is filed under the name Parachtes teruelis. Its description in RNAcentral is "tRNA-Arg". Lineage: Eukaryota; Metazoa; Arthropoda; Arachnida; Araneae; Dysderidae. The record is from RNAcentral.
UAGUUUGUAUUUAUACUUAAUUUCGACUUAAGUUUAGGCUAAAUUAA